This 1967-nucleotide long non-coding RNA is filed under the name Salvia miltiorrhiza (redroot sage). RNAcentral's name for it is "long non-coding RNA (SMIL_LNC006111)". The record is from RNAcentral. Lineage: Eukaryota; Viridiplantae; Streptophyta; Magnoliopsida; Lamiales; Lamiaceae.
GGAAUUGUGUUAAAAUGAAAGUGGGGAUUUUGUCCCACAUUGGUUUUGCUAUCAAAGUAGGUGGAGACCCUUAGGCUAUUUAAGGAGUUCCAAGGUCUUUGAUACAAUUGCACCAAUCACUACCUUUAGUCUUGUGAUUACUUCUAGUUUGAAAUUCCUUGCUCUUUGUUUUAGAGGGGUGAGAGGUUUUACAAGGCUUGUAAGAGUGUAGUGGUUGUGAGUCGAGAGGGUGAGUAAAUACUGUGUGAUUGUAGAAAUUUAUCUAUAUAGUAAUUUUUCAGUGUGUCGUGGUUUUUCUCCGGUAUUUGGAGUUUCCACGUUAAAUUCUUGUGUUGUUAAAUUGUGUCUAUUUUAUUCUUAUUUCUUGCUUCUACCAAGUUUGGAUGGGGAACUGAUUUCCCAACAAUUGGUAUCAGAGCCUGGCUGAGGUCUCUUGAUAUUCCAAGUAUGCUCUGUGGUUGCAGCAUUGUCUGAUCUUCCACAUCAGAAAGGAUUUCUUGAGAAAGAUCCGGGCGGGGUGUCUCUUGCGAGACGGCUGUUCAUUUUGGUGGAGAAGCGGUACGUCAAGUCAACUUCAAGUCCAAAUGAAGUUCGACGUGGAGAAAUUCGAUGGAAUAAUAAAUUUUGGCUUGUGGCAAGUGCAAGUCAAGGAUGUGCUGAUACAAUCUGGGGUUACACAAGGCCCUGAAAGGAAGUCCUGGUGCAGUCAAAAAGCCCGGUGCAGAUGAUGACGCAAACAUCAAGUCCGGUAUGAGUGAUGAAGAUUGGGAGGAUCUGGAUCUGAAGGCGGCAAGCACAAUUCGUCUCUGCUUGGCCAAGAAUGUACUUGCAAAUGUACAUGGGAUUUCGAGUGCGAAGGAGCUUUGGGAAAAGCUGGAAGCUCUGUACCAAGCAAAAGGCAUCUCGAAUCGGUUGUAUUUGAAGGAACAAUUUCAUACCUUACGGAUGGAUGAAGGUGUGAAGAUUUCAGAUCACUUGAGUAUUCUCAAUGGCAUUAUCUCUGAACUGGUAGAGUAUUGGAGCGAAAAUUGAAGAUGAGGAUAAGGCGUUGAGACUCAUCUUGUCUCUUCCACGUUCCUAUGAACACAUGAAGCCAGUAUUAGUUUAUGGGAAGGAAACUCUGGUCUUUGUCUGAAGUCACGGGGCAAACUUACUUUUGGAAGAAAGAAGGCUGAUGAGUGAAGGACGUCCUUCAUCGGAAAAUUCAGCAAUGGUGGCCUUUAGCAGAGGGAGGAAGAAAGACUCCAAGGGCGUUGUUUGUUGGAGGUGCGGAAAACCCGGCCAUACGAAGCGAAACUGUCCAGGUGGAGCUUGUCGAGGUGGAGCGGAUUCGGCAGAAAGCUCCGAACAAGCAGCUAACAUCGUGUUUGAUGAUGUCCUUUGAGGACAUGAAUAUCCUUAUGGCAUGUCCAAUGGCCAUGAUAGAGGAUGUGACGAUGUUAGUUGGACCACAUGUGCAUGGUUUUUGGCAUGGAUGCAGGUGUGUGGUGAAAAGUAUGUCGAUGGCUGAUGACUUCUAGGAGGGCCAAAAGCUAGAAGGUUGCACCAAAAUUUCAGCAAGGUUUUUUCGACAUGUGCCGAAGUAAAAUUCUUAGAAUGGUUUAUUCUAAGUGUUCUACUCAUUUGGUGGAGUAGGUUUAUUCUCUUUUGAGGAUGAUGGUUCUUUGUGAUAAGAAUCAUAAUUGUCGGUGAAGACAAUGGUGUUUUUCUUUCAUUUUUAACAAGGUGGAGAUUGUUGGAAUUGUGUUAAAAUGAAAGUGGGGAUUUUGUCCCACAUUGGUUUUGCUAUCAAAGUAGGUGGAGACCCUUAGGCUAUUUAAGGAGUUCCAAGGUCUUUGAUACAAAUGCACCAAUCACUACCUUUAGUCUUGUGAUUACUUCUAGUUUGAAAUUCCUUGCUCUUUGUUUUAGAGGGGUGAGAGGUUUUCAAAGGCUUGUAAGAGUGUAGUGGUUGUGAGUCGAGAGGG